This 803-nucleotide ribosomal RNA is filed under the name uncultured bacterium. RNAcentral describes it as "bacterial SSU rRNA". It matches the Rfam family "Bacterial small subunit ribosomal RNA", at positions 1 to 814 of the family's 1533-position model. The record is from RNAcentral.
GAAUUGCCCUUAGAGUUGAUCCUGGCUCAGGACGAACGCUGGCGGCACGCUUAACACAUGCAAGUCGAACGGAGGAACAUUGAGCUUGCUUAAUGUUCUUAGUGGCGGACGGGUGAGUAACACGUUUAGUAACCUGCCUCUAAGAGUGGGAUAGCUUCUGGAAACGGAUGGUAAUACCGCAUAACAUCAUGGAUUCGCAUGUUUCUAUGAUCAAAGAUUUAUCGCUUAGAGAUGGACUCGCGUCUGAUUAGCUAGUUGGUAAGGUAACGGCUUACCAAGGCGACGAUCAGUAGCCGGACUGAGAGGUUGAUCGGCCACAUUGGGACUGAGACACGGCCCAGACUCCUACGGGAGGCAGCAGUGGGGAAUAUUGCACAAUGGGGGAAACCCUGAUGCAGCGAUGCCGCGUGGAGGAAGAAGGUUUUCGGAUUGUAAACUCCUGUUGAAGAGGACGAUAAUGACGGUACUCUUUUAGAAAGCUCCGGCUAACUACGUGCCAGCAGCCGCGGUAAUACGUAGGGAGCGAGCGUUGUCCGGAAUUACUGGGUGUAAAGGGAGCGUAGGCGGGAUGGCAAGUCAGAUGUGAAAACUACGGGCUCAACCCAUAGACUGCAUUUGAAACUGUUGUUCUUGAGUGAGGUAGAGGUAAGCGGAAUUCCUGGUGUAGCGGUGAAAUGCGUAGAGAUCAGGAGGAACAUCGGUGGCGAAGGCGGCUUACUGGGCCUUUACUGACGCUGAGGCUCGAAAGCGUGGGGAGCAAACAGGAUUAGAUACCCUGGUAGUCCACGCCGUAAACGAUGAUU